This 877-nucleotide ribosomal RNA is filed under the name uncultured bacterium. RNAcentral's name for it is "bacterial SSU rRNA". It matches the Rfam family "Bacterial small subunit ribosomal RNA", at positions 21 to 891 of the family's 1533-position model. The record is from RNAcentral.
GGCUCAGAUGAAACGCUGGCGGCAUGCCUUACACAUGCAAGUCGAACGCGAAAGUGGGGGCAACCCUGCGAGUAGAGUGGCGAACGGGUGAGUAAUACAUCGGAACGUACCCAGGAGUGGGGGACAACCUCGAGAAAUCGAGGCUAAUACCGCAUACGUCCUGAGGGAGAAAGCGGGGGAUCCGUAAGGACCUCGCGCUCAUGGAGCGGCCGAUGUCGGAUUAGCUAGUUGGCGGGGUAAAGGCCCACCAAGGCGACGAUCCGUAGCUGGUUUGAGAGAACGACCAGCCACACUGGGACUGAGACACGGCCCAGACUCCUACGGGAGGCAGCAGUGGGGAAUUUUGGACAAUGGGGGCAACCCUGAUCCAGCCAUGCCGCGUGAGUGAAGAAGGCCUUCGGGUUGUAAAGCUCUUUCGGCCGGAACGAAAUCGGGUACGUGAAUAACGUGCCUGGAUGACGGUACUGGAAGAAGAAGCACCGGCUAACUACGUGCCAGCAGCCGCGGUAAUACGUAGGGUGCGAGCGUUAAUCGGAAUUACUGGGCGUAAAGCGUGCGUAGGCGGUUUCGCGAGUCAGAUGUGAAAUCCCCGGGCUUAACCUGGGAACUGCGUUUGAAACUACGGAGCUAGAGUGUGGCAGAGGGGGGUGGAAUUCCACGUGUAGCAGUGAAAUGCGUAGAUAUGUGGAGGAACACCGAUGGCGAAGGCAGCCCCCUGGGCCGACACUGACGCUCAGGCACGAAAGCGUGGGGAGCAAACAGGAUUAGAUACCCUGGUAGUCCACGCCCUAAACUAUGUCAACUAGUUGUCGGGGAAGCAAUUCCUUGGUAACGAAGCUAACGCGUGAAGUUGACCGCCUGGGGAGUACGGUCGCAA